RNAcentral lists this ribosomal RNA (548 nucleotides) under Bacillus amyloliquefaciens. RNAcentral describes it as "bacterial SSU rRNA". It matches the Rfam family "Bacterial small subunit ribosomal RNA", at positions 48 to 579 of the family's 1533-position model. Lineage: Bacteria; Bacillati; Bacillota; Bacilli; Caryophanales; Bacillaceae. The record is from RNAcentral.
GCUAUACAUGCAGUCGAGCGGACAGAUGGGAGCUUGCUCCCUGAUGUUAGCGGCGGACGGGUGAGUAACACGUGGGUAACCUGCCUGUAAGACUGGGAUAACUCCGGGAAACCGGGGCUAAUACCGGAUGGUUGUUUGAACCGCAUGGUUCAGACAUAAAAGGUGGCUUCGGCUACCACUUACAGAUGGACCCGCGGCGCAUUAGCUAGUUGGUGAGGUAACGGCUCACCAAGGCGACGAUGCGUAGCCGACCUGAGAGGGUGAUCGGCCACACUGGGACUGAGACACGGCCCAGACUCCUACGGGAGGCAGCAGUAGGGAAUCUUCCGCAAUGGACGAAAGUCUGACGGAGCAACGCCGCGUGAGUGAUGAAGGUUUUCGGAUCGUAAAGCUCUGUUGUUAGGGAAGAACAAGUGCCGUUCAAAUAGGGCGGCACCUUGACGGUACCUAACCAGAAAGCCACGGCUAACUACGUGCCACCACCCGCGGUAAUACGUAGGUGGCAAGCGUUGUCCGGAAUUAUUGGGCGUAAAGGGCUCGCAUGUUCU